CACUUGGAAACAGGUGCUAAUACCGCAUAACAGUUUAUGCCGCAUGGCAUAAGAGUGAAAGGCGCUUUCGGGUGUCGCUGAUGGAUGGACCCGCGGUGCAUUAACUAGUUGGUGAGGUAACGGCUCACCAAGGCCACGAUGCAUAGCCGACCUGAGAGGGUGAUCGGCCACACUGGGACUGAGACCCGGCCCAGACUCCUACGGGAGGCA
RNAcentral lists this ribosomal RNA (210 nucleotides) under Enterococcus faecalis. RNAcentral's name for it is "partial 16S ribosomal RNA". It matches the Rfam family "Bacterial small subunit ribosomal RNA", at positions 147 to 350 of the family's 1533-position model. Lineage: Bacteria; Bacillati; Bacillota; Bacilli; Lactobacillales; Enterococcaceae. The record is from RNAcentral.